AGCUUGUCGGUGAGGUAAAGGCUCACCAAGGCUCCGACGGGUACCAGGCGUGAGAGCGUGAUCUGGCACAUCGGGACUGAGACACUGCCCGGACAUCUACGGAUGGCUGCAGCAACGAAUAUUCCGCAAUGGACGAAAGUCUGACGGAGCGACGCCGCGUGCAGGAUGAAGCCCUUCGGGGUGUAAACUGCUGUCAGGGGUUAGGAAGAAACUGACCAACCCCAAAGGAAGCCUCGGCUAACUCUGUGCCAGCAGCCGCGGUAAUACAGAGGAGGCAAGCGUUGUUCGGAAUUACUGGGCUUAAAGCGUGUGUAGGCGGGAUGGAAGGUGUCAAGUGAAAGCCCUCGGCUUAACCGAGGAACUGCUAGGCAAACCACCAUUCUUGAGGCCAGCAGGGGUACCCGGAACCUUGGGUGGAGCGGUGAAAUGCGUUGAUAUUCAAGGGAACGCCGAUGGCGAAAGCGGGGUACUGGGCUGGUUCUGACGCUGAGACACGAAAGCGUGGGGAGCAAACAGGAUUAGAUACCCUGGUAGUCCACGCCGUAAACGAUGCGCACUAGGUAUCAGAAUCUCUGACGAUUUUGGUGCCGUAGCAAAAGCGAUAAGUGCGCCGCCUGGGGAGUACGGCCGCAAGGCUAAAACUCAAAGGAAUUGACGGGGGCCCACACAAGCGGUGGAGCAUGUGGAUUAAUUCGACGCGAAGAACCCUACCUGGGUUUGACAUGCUAGGAUGCACCGAUGAAAGUCGGCUAUGCUACCUUCGGGUGAAACUAGCACAGGUGCUGCAUGGCUGUCGUCAGCUCGUGCUGUGAAGUGUCGGGUUAAGUCCCUUAACGAGCGGAACCCCUAUCGCUAGUUGCCAGCGGGUAAUGCCGGGGACUCUAGCGAGACUGCCGGCGUCAAGCCGGAGGAAGGUGGGGACGACGUCAAGUCAUCAUGGCCUUUAUGCCCAGGGUGUCACACGUGCUACAAUGGCAGCUACAGAGCGACGCGAUACCGCGAGGUGGAGCAAAUCGCAGAAAAGUUGCCUCAGUUCGGAUUGGAGUCUGCAACUCGACUCCAUGAAGUUGGAAUCGCUAGUAAUCGCGUAUCAGCCAUGACGCGGUGAAUGUGUUCCUGAGCCUUGUACACACCGCCCGUCAAGUCAUGGAAGCUGGUAGUACCCGAAGUCCGCUUAGCUAACUUCGUGAGGCGGCGGCCGACGGUAAGACCGGUGACUGGGACUAAGUCGGAACAAGGUAGCCGUAGGGGAACCUGCGGCUG
Molecule: ribosomal RNA, 1263 nt
Filed under: metagenome
Description: bacterial SSU rRNA
Rfam family: Bacterial small subunit ribosomal RNA
Source: RNAcentral